CAGGAGGCUCUUCCCUCAGGCAGCCUCCUCUCGGGCCAGAAAGAACCCAUGCAUACCGCGUCCGUCCAGGCGUGAUGCGGAGCAGGCUUCAGGGUCCUUGAACAGGAAGUGGCGGCCUUAGAGGAGGAGGCAUGGGAAAAGCUACCUGAAUGGAUCAGCAGACCCAAGAAAACCAUACACAGAAUGACAAUGACCAAGCAAGUGGAAAGAAUCACUACCACCAAACAACAAAGUGGAUCAAGCAGAAUUAACAAUUGUAGCUCCAAAAAGAGAUGAAGAGAGAACCUUGCUCCACAAUUUGAAGAGGUGGAAAGUCAAGAGGAAUGGAACUUUGCAUUUAUUUUCAAACCUCUAUAAUAUAUUGAUUGGUUUUAUGGGC
Long non-coding RNA from Monodelphis domestica (gray short-tailed opossum), 379 nucleotides. RefSeq lists it as uncharacterized. The record is from RefSeq and is a predicted model, not a curated record. Lineage: Eukaryota; Metazoa; Chordata; Mammalia; Didelphimorphia; Didelphidae.